AUUGAACGCUGGCGGCAGGCCUAACACAUGCAAGUCGAACGGUAGCGGGGAGAAGCUUGCUCCUUUGCCGACGAGUGGCGGACGGGUGAGUAAUGUCUGGGAAACUGCCCGAUGGAGGGGGAUAACUACUGGAAACGGUAGCUAAUACCGCAUAACGUCUUCGGACCAAAGUGGGGGACCUUCGGGCCUCACACCAUCGGAUGUGCCCAGAUGGGAUUAGCUAGUAGGUGGGGUAAUGGCUCACCUAGGCGACGAUCCCUAGCUGGUCUGAGAGGAUGACCAGCCACACUGGAACUGAGACACGGUCCAGACUCCUACGGGAGGCAGCAGUGGGGAAUAUUGCACAAUGGGCGCAAGCCUGAUGCAGCCAUGCCGCGUGUAUGAAGAAGGCCUUCGGGUUGUAAAGUACUUUCAGCGGGGAGGAAGGCGAUGCGGUUAAUAACCGCGUCGAUUGACGUUACCCGCAGAAGAAGCACCGGCUAACUCCGUGCCAGCAGCCGCGGUAA
This 506-nucleotide ribosomal RNA is filed under the name uncultured bacterium. RNAcentral describes it as "partial 16S ribosomal RNA". It matches the Rfam family "Bacterial small subunit ribosomal RNA", at positions 30 to 523 of the family's 1533-position model. The record is from RNAcentral.